GGGGUUGUGGAUCAGAGGUAGAGCGCUCGCCUAGCAUGUGUGAGGCACUGGGUUUGAUCCUCAGCACCACA
This 71-nucleotide transfer RNA is filed under the name Marmota monax (woodchuck). RNAcentral describes it as "tRNA.Ala". Lineage: Eukaryota; Metazoa; Chordata; Mammalia; Rodentia; Sciuridae. The record is from RNAcentral.